CCUACGGGAGUCAGCAGUGAGGAAUAUUGGUCAAUGGACGAGAGUCUGAACCAGCCAAGUAGCGUGAAGGAUGACUGCCCUAUGGGUUGUAAACUUCUUUUAUAUGGGAAUAAAUUGUUCUACGUGUGGAAUUUUGUAAGUAUCAUAUGAAGAAGGAUCGGCUAACUCCGUGCCAGCAGCCGCGGUAAUACGGAGGAUCCGAGCGUUAUCCGGAUUUAUUGGGCUUAAAGGGAGCGUAGGGGGAUGGUUAAGUCAGUUGUGAAAGUUUGCGGCUCAACCGUAAAAUUACAGUUGAAACUGGAAGUCUUGAGUACAGUAGAGGUGGGCGGAAUUCGUGGUGUAGCGGUGAAAUGCUUAGAUAUCACGAAGAACUCCGAUUGCGAAGGCAGCUCACUGGACUGCAACUGACACUGAGGCUCGAAAGUGUGGGUAUCAAACAGGAUUAGAUACCCCAGUAGUC
Molecule: ribosomal RNA, 460 nt
Filed under: uncultured bacterium
Lineage: Bacteria
Description: partial 16S ribosomal RNA
Rfam family: Bacterial small subunit ribosomal RNA
Source: RNAcentral